RNAcentral lists this unclassified non-coding RNA (253 nucleotides) under uncultured fungus. Its description in RNAcentral is "partial contains 5.8S ribosomal RNA, internal transcribed spacer 2, and large subunit ribosomal RNA". The stretch from base 1 to 52 matches the Rfam family "5.8S ribosomal RNA", at positions 103 to 154 of the family's 154-position model. Lineage: Eukaryota; Fungi. The record is from RNAcentral.
AACGCACCUUGCACCUUUUGGUAUUCCGAAAGGUAUGCCUGUUUGAGUGUCUUGAAACCUCACUCUCUAGAGUUUUCUCUAUAGACGUGGAUUUGGGUGUUGCAAUUUGCUCACCUUGAAUAUCUUAGUGGUUCCAACCGUAGCCUGAUGUAAUAAGUUUCAUCUGGUCAAGGGGAAGACUGCUUCCAAUCGCCUGUAUGGGCACUAUUUAAGACUAGACCUCAAAUCAGGUAGGACUACCCGCUGAACUUAA